AACGCUAGCUACGGCUUAACACAUGCAAGUCGCGGGGCAUCAUGGCGAUAGCUUGCUAUUGCUGAUGGCGACCGGCGCACGGGUGAGUAACGCGUAUCCAACCUGCCCCAUACUACGGCACGGCCCGGCGAAAGUCGGAUUAAUGCCGUAUGUUCUCCGAAGAAGACAUCUGACUUGGAGCAAAGCAGCGAUGCGGUAUGGGAUGGGGAUGCGUCCGAUUAGCUUGUUGGCGGGGUAACGGCCCACCAAGGCGACGAUCGGUAGGGGUUCUGAGAGGAAGGUCCCCCACACUGGAACUGAGACACGGUCCAGACUCCUACGGGAGGCAGCAGUGAGGAAUAUUGGUCAAUGGGCGCGAGCCUGAACCAGCCAAGUAGCGUGCAGGAGGAAGGCCCUAUGGGUUGUAAACUGCUUUUAUGCGGGGAUAAACGAGGGGACGUGUCCCCUUUUGCAGGUACCGCAUGAAUAAGGACCGGCUAAUUCCGUGCCAGCAGCCGCGGUAAUACGGAAGGUCCGGGCGUUAUCCGGAUUUAUUGGGUUUAAAGGGAGCGCAGGCCGGAGGCUAAGCGUGCCGUGAAAUGUAGGCGCCCAACGUCUGAAUUGCAGCGCGAACUGGCUUUCUUGAGUGCGUGGGAAGUGGGCGGAAUUCGUGGUGUAGCGGUGAAAUGCUUAGAUAUCACGAAGAACUCCGAUUGCGAAGGCAGCCCACUGUUGCGUCACUGACGCUGAGGCUCGAAAGUGCGGGUAUCGAACAGGAUUAGAUACCCUGGUAGUCCGCACGGUAAACGAUGGAUGCCCGCUGUUUGCCC
RNAcentral lists this ribosomal RNA (809 nucleotides) under uncultured bacterium. Its description in RNAcentral is "bacterial SSU rRNA". It matches the Rfam family "Bacterial small subunit ribosomal RNA", at positions 32 to 829 of the family's 1533-position model. The record is from RNAcentral.